Molecule: non-coding RNA, 812 nt
Filed under: Pongo abelii (Sumatran orangutan)
Lineage: Eukaryota; Metazoa; Chordata; Mammalia; Primates; Hominidae
Source: RNAcentral
GAGAUUCCUGUGCCAAUAUCAUACUGUUCUAGAAUUAUUGGAUCUCUUAUGCUAGGGCUGCUGGUCAAACCUGAGUUCCUGAAACCUUUAACCCUACUCAGCCAAUACAACCGAUAACAUUCCUGAAGAGACAGAGUCUUGUUCUGUUGCACAUGCUGGCGUACAGUGCCACAAUCACAGCUCACCGCAGCUUCCAACUUCUGGACUCACGUGAUCCUUCUGCCUCAGACUUCCAAGUACCUGGGACUACAGGCACGAAUCACCACAGCCAGCUUGGAGUGACUUUCUAAGGGAUUCCAUCCAAGUUACCACAUUAUAUAUGCUAAUCUCGUGUUCUUUGGCUUCUCUUGUUUGUGACAGUUUCUCAGACUUCUGUUUUGCUUUGUUCUUAAUAACCUUGACAGUUUUGAGGAGUAGUGAUAAGAAAGUUACUAUGCACAGACCACUCUUAGGGAGUGAGGAAUUAUGUUCCCCCUCCUUGAGAAUGGAGUACUUACAUAAAUUACCUGGGAUUCUUCUGCAUGGGAGGGUCUUGCUCAGGCUGGAGUACACUGGUGCAAUCAUGGCUCCCUGCAGCCUCAACCUCCUGGACUCAAGCAAUCCUCCCACCUCAGCCUCCCAAGUAGCUGGGACUACAGGUGCAUGCUAUUACACCCAGCUAAUUUUUUAAAUUUUUUGUAGAGACAAGGUCUCACUAUGUUUCCCAGGCUGGUCUUGAACGCCUGGGCUCAAACAAUUCUCCUACCUUGGUUUCCCAAAGUGCUGGCAUGAGCCACUGUGCCCAGACUCAUUAUUUAUUAAACUAUUUUGUG